GCCGCGUGCGGGAUGAAGGCCUUCGGGUUGUAAACCGCUUUUGUCAGAGACGAAAAGGGACGUACGAAUAAUACGUUCCGCUGACGGUAUCUGAAGAAUAAGCACCGGCUAACUACGUGCCAGCAGCCGCGGUAAUACGUAGGGUGCAAGCGUUAAUCGGAAUUACCGGGCGUAAAGGGUGCGCAGGCGGCUGUGCAAGACAGAUGUGAAAUCCCCGGGCUUAACCUGGGAACUGCAUUUGUGACUGCACGGCUAGAGUUUGUCAGAGGAGGGUGGAAUUCCGCGUGUAGCAGUGAAAUGCGUAGAUAUGCGGAAG
This 316-nucleotide ribosomal RNA is filed under the name uncultured bacterium. Its description in RNAcentral is "bacterial SSU rRNA". It matches the Rfam family "Bacterial small subunit ribosomal RNA", at positions 396 to 704 of the family's 1533-position model. The record is from RNAcentral.